GGUGAUGUUAAAUAUAAGGUGUUAAAUAUAAGGUGAUGUUAAAUAUAAGGUGAUGUUAAAUAUAAGGUGAUGUUAAAUAUAAGGGGAUAUUAAAUAUAAGGUGAUGUUAAGUAUAAGGUGUUAAAUAUAAGGUGAUGUUAAAUAUAAGGUGAUGUUAAAUAUAAGGUGAUGUUAAAUAUAAGGUGAUGUUAAAUAUAAGGUGUUAAAUAUAAGGUGUUAAAUAUAAGGUGAUGUUAAAUAUAAGGUGAUGUUAAAUAUAAGGUGAUGUUAAGUAUAAGGUGAUGUUAAAUAUAAGGUGAUGUUAAGUAUAAGGUGAUGUUAAAUAUAAGGUGAUAUUAAAUAUAAGGUGAUGUUAAGUAUAAGGUGAUGUUAAAUAUAAGGUGAUGUUAAGUAUAAGGUGAUGUUAAAUAUAAGGUGAUAUUAAAUAUAAGGAGAUGUUAAGUAUAAGGUGAUGUUAAAUAUAAGGUGAUGUUAAAUAUAAGGUGAUGUUAAGUAUAAGGAGAUGUUAAGUAUAAGGUGAUGUUAAAUAUAAGGUGAUGUUAAGUAUAAGGUGAUGUUAAGUAUAAGGUGAUGUUAAGUAUAAGGAGAUGUUAAGUAUAAGGUGAUGUUAAAUAUAAGGUGAUGUUAAGUAUAAGGUGAUGUUAAAUAUAAGGUGAUGUUAAAUAUAAGGUGUUAAAUAUAAGGGGAUAUUAAAUAUAAGGUGAUGUUAAGUAUAAGGGGAUAUUAAAUAUAAGGUGAUGUUAAAUAUAAGGUGUUAAAUAUAAGGUGAUAUUAAAUAUAAGGAGAUGUUAAGUAUAAGGUGAUGUUAAGUAUAAGGGGAUAUUAAAUAUAUGGGGAUAUUAAAUAUAAGGUGAUAUUAAAUAUAU
Oncorhynchus keta (chum salmon) is the source of this 866-nucleotide long non-coding RNA. RefSeq lists it as uncharacterized. The record is from RefSeq and is a predicted model, not a curated record. Lineage: Eukaryota; Metazoa; Chordata; Actinopteri; Salmoniformes; Salmonidae. The transcript has 7 exons.